Molecule: small RNA, 728 nt
Filed under: Pongo abelii (Sumatran orangutan)
Lineage: Eukaryota; Metazoa; Chordata; Mammalia; Primates; Hominidae
Description: processed transcript
Source: RNAcentral
UCACUCUUUCCUACCUUGCUUGUGGGUAAAUCUCUUCUGCGGAAUCUCAGAAAGUAAAGUUCCAUCCUAAGAAUAUUUCACAAAGAAUUUCCUUAAGAGCUGGACUGGGAUCCUACGAUGAUACACCAACCACUUGUGCUACCACCUGUCAAAACUUUGGAUGGCCCUACUUUCAGGCGGAGUCUUGCUCUGUCGCCCCGGCUGGAGUGCAGCGGCGCGAUCUCGGCUCACUGCAAGCUCUGCCUCCCGGGGUCACGCCAUUCUCCUGCCUCAGCCUCCCGAGUAGCUGGGACUACAGGUGCCCACCACCACACCAAGCUAAUUUUUUGUAUUUUUAGUAGAGAUGGGGUUUCACCAUGUUAGCCAGGAUGAUCUUGAUCUCCUGACCUCGUGAUCUGCCCACCUCAGCCUCCCAAAGUGCUGGGAUUACAGGUGUGAGCCACCGCACCUGGCUGCUUAUAGUAUUUUGAAGUGUGCUUAAUAAAUCAAUUUUAUGAAUGAUCAUCUUAUUAUCUCUUUAAAAUUUUAUAUCACACUGUCCUAUUGCUUAGAGUUCAAAUUAGGUAUACUCCCAUGUGUAUGAGAGACACAAUUAAUGACUUGUAGGUCAUAAUUAAAGAUUCAAAAGAUUCAUUUUUGUUAAUAGAAUGUUUACAAAUACUUAUUCUUAUUUUGCUAUAUAAUGAGCAGUGUCUCCAAUUAAAGUAAUUAAAAUUCAACCAAAUGAG